GGUUAAGUGACUAAGCGUACAUGGUGGAUGCCUUGGCAGUCAGAGGCGAUGAAGGACGUACUAACCUGCGAUAAGCCGUGAGCAGUCGGUAAGAGACAUUACGACUCACGGAUUUCCGAAUGGGGAAACCCACUUAGCAUAAGCUAGGUAUCGCUGCGUGAAUACAUAGCGUAGCGAGGCGAACCGGGAGAACUGAAACAUCUAAGUACCCCGAGGAAAAGAAAUCAACCGAGAUUCCCUCAGUAGCGGCGAGCGAACGGGGAUUAGCCCUUAAGCAUCUUGGAAGUUAGUGGAACGGUCCUGGAAAGGCCGGCGAUACAGGGUGAUAGCCCCGUACACGAAAACAACCUUGAUGUGAAAUCGAGUAGGGCGGGACACGUGACAUCCUGUCUGAAUAUGGGGGGACCAUCCUCCAAGGCUAAAUACUCCUGACUGACCGAUAGUGAACCAGUACCGUGAGGGAAAGGCGAAAAGAACCCCUGUGAGGGGAGUGAAAUAGAACCUGAAACCGUGUACGUACAAGCAGUGGGAGCCCUUCGGGGUGACUGCGUACCUUUUGUAUAAUGGGUCAGCGACUUACAUUUUGUAGCGAGGUUAACCGUAUAGGGGAGCCGUAGGGAAACCGAGUCUUAACUGGGCGUCUAGUUGCAAGGUGUAGACCCGAAACCGGGUGAUCUAGCCAUGGGCAGGUUGAAGGUUGAGUAACAUCAACUGGAGGACCGAACCCACUAACGUUGCAAAGUUAGGGGAUGACCUGUGGCUGGGGGUGAAAGGCCAAUCAAACUCGGAGAUAGCUGGUUCUCCCCGAAAGCUAUUUAGGUAGCGCCUCGGACGAAUACUACUGGGGGUAGAGCACUGUUUGGGCUAGGGGGUCAUCCCGACUUACCAACCCCAUGCAAACUCCGAAUACCAGUAAGUAAUAUCCGGGAGACACACGGCGGGUGCUAACGUCCGUCGUGAAGAGGGAAACAACCCAGACCGCCGGCUAAGGUCCCAAAGUUCUGGUUAAGUGGGAAACGAUGUGGGAAGGCUCAGACAGCUAGGAUGUUGGCUUAGAAGCAGCCAUCAUUUAAAGAAAGCGUAAUAGCUCACUAGUCGAGUCGGCCUGCGCGGAAGAUGUAACGGGGCUCAAACCAGGCACCGAAGCCGCGGAUUCACGCUAAGCGUGAGUGGUAGGGGAGCGUUCUGUAAGUCUGCGAAGGUGUAUCGAGAGGUAUGCUGGAGAUAUCAGAAGUGCGAAUGCUGACGUAAGUAACGAUAAAGGGGGUGAAAAGCCUCCUCGCCGGAAGACCAAGGGUUCCUGUCCAACGUUAAUCGGGGCAGGGUGAGUCGACCCCUAAGGCGAGGCCGAAAGGCGUAGUCGAUGGGAAGCAGGUUAAUAUUCCUGCACGACUUGUAAUUGCGAUGGGGGGACGGAGAAGGCUAGGUGGGCCAGGCGACGGUUGUCCUGGUGAAAGUGCGUAGGUGGUGUUUCUAGGCAAAUCCGGAGACACAACACUGAGACACGAGACGAACACACUACGGUGUGGAAGCCAUUGAUGCCCUGCUUCCAGGAAAAGCCUCUAAGCUUCAGAUUACAAGUCAUCGUACCCCAAACCGACACAGGUGGUCGGGUAGAGAAUACCAAGGCGCUUGAGAGAACUCGGGUGAAGGAACUAGGCAAAAUAGAACCGUAACUUCGGGAGAAGGUUCGCUCUUGACAGUGAAGUCCCUUGCGGAUGGAGCAGUUGGGAGUCGCAGUGACCAGAUGGCUGGGACUGUUUAUCAAAAACACAGCACUCUGCAAACACGAAAGUGGACGUAUAGGGUGUGACACCUGCCCGGUGCCGGAAGGUUAAUUGAUGGGGUUAGCGCAAGCGAAGCUCUUGAUCGAAGCCCCGGUAAACGGCGGCCGUAACUAUAACGGUCCUAAGGUAGCGAAAUUCCUUGUCGGGUAAGUUCCGACCUGCACGAAUGGUGUAACCAUGGCCAUGCUGUCUCCACCCGAGACUCAGUGAAAUCGAAUUCGCCGUGAAGAUGCGGUGUACCCGCGGCUAGACGGAAAGACCCCGUGAACCUUUACUACAGCUUGGCACUGAACAUUGAACCUACAUGUGUAGGAUAGGGGAGGCUUUGAAGGCGUGACGCCAGUUGCGCUGGAGCCGUCCUUGAAAUACCACCCUUGUAUGUUUGAUGUUCUAACGCAGGCCCAUGAAUCUGGGUCGCGGACAGUGCCUGGUGGGUAGUUUGACUGGGGCGGUCUCCUCCCAAAGAGUAACGGAGGAGCACGAAGGUUGGCUAAUCCUGGUCGGACAUCAGGAGGUUAGUGCAAUGGCAUAAGCCAGCUUAACUGCGAGACGGACAGGUCGAGCAGGUACGAAAGUAGGUCAUAGUGAUCCGGUGGUUCUGAAUGGAAGGGCCAUCGCUCAACGGAUAAAAGGUACUCCGGGGAUAACAGGCUGAUACCGCCCAAGAGUUCAUAUCGACGGCGGUGUUUGGCACCUCGAUGUCGGCUCAUCACAUCCUGGGGCUGAAGUCGGUCCCAAGGGUAUGGCUGUUCGCCAUUUAAAGUGGUACGCGAGCUGGGUUCAGAACGUCGUGAGACAGUUCGGUCCCUAUCUGCCGUGGGCGUUGGAUGAUUGAAGGGAGUUGCUCCUAGUACGAGAGGACCGGAGUGAACGAACCUCUGGUGUUCGGGUUGUCACGCCAGUGGCACUGCCCGGUAGCUAAGUUCGGAAUCGAUAACCGCUGAAAGCAUCUAAGCGGGAAGCGAGCCCUGAGAUGAGUCAUCCCUGACCCCUUGAGGGUCCUAAAGGGCCGUUGGAGACCACAACGUUGAUAGGUGGGGUGUGUAAGCGCGGCGACGUGUUGAGCUAACCCAUACUAAUUACCCGUGAGGCUUAACCAU
RNAcentral lists this ribosomal RNA (2887 nucleotides) under Aeromonas hydrophila. Its description in RNAcentral is "23S ribosomal RNA". It matches the Rfam family "Bacterial large subunit ribosomal RNA". The record is from RNAcentral. Lineage: Bacteria; Pseudomonadati; Pseudomonadota; Gammaproteobacteria; Aeromonadales; Aeromonadaceae.